Molecule: long non-coding RNA, 1924 nt
Organism: Carassius gibelio (silver crucian carp)
Lineage: Eukaryota; Metazoa; Chordata; Actinopteri; Cypriniformes; Cyprinidae
Exons: 2
Source: RefSeq, a predicted model, not a curated record
CCUCCCCUUUCGUCCCUUUUCUACUUUCGUCCCGCUCCUCGCCUCUCUUUUCUGCAUUUAUCGCUUUCCCUUUACUUUGAAAAUGACUGCUAAAGGAACAUUUCUCGUUAUUUAUAAAACAAUGGUAAAGAGCGCAAACUGCAUUUGGUCCAGAAUGCGAAAAUGAAGCCAAAGGGUCCUUAUUCGUCUUGAAGAAACUGCAGAGGCCUGGAAUAUGCAUUUGCCACGCAGGAGACAUUCGUGUGCGGUCCUCGGGGCAGUGACCUGCGGUCCAGCCGCCCUCUUUCCUCCCCCCCGCCUGCCCAGUGUUCAGACUACCUGUUCAUCAUGCUGCAGCUGAACAGUAGUCCGCACAUUGGUUAGGCUGGGCUGGGACACACACACCCGUGGCUCGAGUACAAGGACUCUACCAUUCGCUGCUGGACUCGGGGGGGAUUUCACAUAUAAACAAUCUUUCUUUGGGGAAUAAAGUGAGACAUUUCCAUUGAAGUUGCUUUGGAUGAAAGCAAAUGUAUGUGCUCGCAGGGAAAGAAACCCAAGGCCUUGAUGUUACUCGCACCACACUCAUCCAGUAAAGCCACAGGAACUUUGGAAAACAGCUAACGUUUGCACUAAUUUCAAACACACAUGAAGUUCGAGUCCGACUUGAGUGGCACUAGUUUUAAGUUCAAGCGAAAGGGGGAGGGUCUGUAAAUGAGAAAUGAAGAACAGAUGAAUCUUACCUCCUCGUCCUUGUACCAGGACAGUGAUUCGGCCGUCAGGACGAACCAGUACUCCUUGGAGCCACCCUUCAUAAUGCUGAUGUGGAGGGUUAGCCAGCCUUUACGGAUCACCUGUGGUACAGAGGGGAGUGGGGUGGGGGGGUUUGCAUGCCACAAGAGUGGGGAAAGAUUAUGAGAUCCACAGUCUUUGUGCAAUAAACUUGUGUCCUAUGCUGAACCAACCUGAAAACCAUAUUGUGCAAACCUGUACUUACCUGAUGUGGAAAUAUUUUGUGUAAAUUUGGUUGCCUUCUAUUGUGGUCAACGUGACUAACUAAACUACUCCGAUUUGUACAUUACAUCAAUGGUUCUUGACUUGUUUCCAAAAAUCACUAAAUUUUUUCAGGCAAAAUUGGUCCUUUGUCCACUAGUCCACUGUUUUUCAGUUUGGUAAAAAAAAAAAAAAAAAUUCAGGUCAAAAAGGUUCAUUCUUAGUAAGUUUCAUUGCCAAUCCCAAACAAAAAAUUAACCAUGGUUGUAUUAUAGUAAAGGUGUAGUAACAGUUUUUUUUUUUUUGCCAUUUCGAUUACUAAUUGUAUAACAUUUUAUUACAAAUACAAUGGUUAACCUAUGGUUAGUGUACCAAAACCAUAGUUAAUUUGUUGUUACUACGGUCUAACGACAAACCAUGUUUUUUGGGGGUUUUAGUUGUACCAAAAAACAGUUAAUUUUUUUGUAAGAGACAUAGCAAUGCAUAACACAUAAAUCACUUUUUUUUUUUUUUUAAACAAAAAGCAUCACGCUUGUCAAUACAGAGAAUCUGCAUGUGGAAAUCUUCAGUCCUCAUGCAAAAUUCCCAAUUCCUUUUGUACAUUUUAUACAUUUAAAUAUGUUAAACCAGAAGCGUGAUGACUGCAACUGCAAAAAAAUAAAAAAAUAAAUUUAUAAAUUAAUAAAACAGCAGGAGUGUUAUUUACCAACAGUUUUAGCAUAUUAGCAAAAAAUUCCAUUAUAUUUUUACUUUAUCAUUCGAAUUUAGCUUUAGGUUGCGAUUCCCCAGUUGGGAACCACUAGACUACAGUAUCUACUCUGCAUGGAGUCAGAACAUAAGGCAGCAAUUAAAGCUUAGUCACAUAUAAAUGCUCUAGAAAACACUAAAGAAAACCACUGGGGAGUGUCUUGAAGUCUUGAAAUAGAGCAACAAUAAAAGAACAAAGGAACAA